Molecule: microRNA precursor, 134 nt
Organism: Ananas comosus (pineapple)
Lineage: Eukaryota; Viridiplantae; Streptophyta; Magnoliopsida; Poales; Bromeliaceae
Source: Rfam
GAAAUAAGAACCACUGAGACUAGCCAAGAAGACUGCCUAUGAACCAAAAAUGGGGCUUGUUUAAUCUGUCCAAAACCUCCAAAAAAAAGGUUACAGGCAAGUCAUCCUUGGCUAUCAAAGAUAGAUGCUUAUCA